UACGGAGGGGGUUAGCGUUGCUCGGAAUUACUGGGCGUAAAGCGCGCGUAGGCGGAUUAGAAAGUUGGGGGUGAAAUCCCGGGGCUCAACCCCGGAACUGCCUCCAAAACUACUAGUCUAGAGUUCGAGAGAGGUGAGUGGAAUUCCGAGUGUAGAGGUGAAAUUCGUAGAUAUUCGGAGGAACACCAGUGGCGAAGGCGGCUCACUGGCUCGAUACUGACGCUGAGGUGCGAAAGUGUGGGGAGCAAACAGG
This 253-nucleotide ribosomal RNA is filed under the name uncultured bacterium. RNAcentral's name for it is "partial 16S ribosomal RNA". It matches the Rfam family "Bacterial small subunit ribosomal RNA", at positions 524 to 776 of the family's 1533-position model. The record is from RNAcentral.